This 864-nucleotide ribosomal RNA is filed under the name uncultured bacterium. Its description in RNAcentral is "bacterial SSU rRNA". It matches the Rfam family "Bacterial small subunit ribosomal RNA", at positions 11 to 916 of the family's 1533-position model. The record is from RNAcentral.
GUUUGAUCAUGGCUCAGAUUGAACGCUGGCGGCAUGGCUAAAACAUGCAAGUCCGGGAUAACCCUUUCGGGGUGAAACCGGCGGAAGGGCGAGUAAUGCGAUCGAACGUACCCCGAGGUGGAGGAUAGCUGUGGGAAACUGCAGGUAAUACUCCAUGUGUUCCAAGGAAGAAAGCUUCGGCGCCUUGGGAGCGGCGAUCGUCCUAUCAGGUAGUUGGCGGGGUAAAAGCCCACCAAGCCGAAGACGGGUAGCGGGUGUGAGAGCACGGCCCGCCGCAUCGGGACUGAGACACUGCCCGGACUCCUACGGGAGGCUGCAGUAACGAAUAUUCCGCAAUGCGCGAAAGCGUGACGGAGCAAUGCCGCGUGCAGGAUGAAGCGGUUUCGCCGUGUAAACUGCUGUCAGGGACUAGAAAUACUGAUCAGUCCCAGAGGAAGAGACGGCUAGCCCUGUGCCAGCAGCCGCGGUAAUACAGGGGUCUCGAGCGUUAAUCGGAAUCACUGGGCUUAAAGGGUGCGCAGGCGGACCAGAGGGUGUAUCGUGAAAGCCCCCGGCUCAACCGGGGAACUGCGACGCAAACCGCUGGUCUUGAGGUGGGUAGGGGUCGCUGGAACGCUCGGUGGAGCGGUGAAAUGCGUAGAUAUCGAGCGGAACGCCGAAGGUGAAGACAAGCGACUGGGCCCAUCCUGACGCUCAUGCACGAAAGCGUGGGGAUCAAGCAGGAUUAGAUACCCUGGUAGUCCACGCUGUAAACGAUGCGCACUGGAUCGGUGCGGGUUUGACCCCGUGUCGGUCGGAGAGAAAUUGUUAAGUGCGCCGCCUGGGAAGUACGGUCGCAAGGCUAAAACUCAAAGGAAUUGACGG